RNAcentral lists this ribosomal RNA (425 nucleotides) under uncultured bacterium. RNAcentral's name for it is "bacterial SSU rRNA". It matches the Rfam family "Bacterial small subunit ribosomal RNA", at positions 356 to 773 of the family's 1533-position model. The record is from RNAcentral.
GGGGAAUAUUGCGCAAUGGGGGCAACCCUGACGCAGCCAUGCCGCGUGUGUGAAGAAGGCCUUCGGGUUGUAAAGCACUUUAAGUGGGGAAGAAAAGCGUAGCGUUAAUAGCGUUGCGCCGUGACAUUACCCACAGAAUAAGCACCGGCUAACUCCGUGCCAGCAGCCGCGGUAAUACGGAGGGUGCGAGCGUUAAUCGGAAUUACUGGGCGUAAAGCGCGCGUAGGCGGUUUGCUAAGUCAGCUGUGAAAGCCCCGGGCUCAACCUGGGAACUGCAGUUGAUACUGGCCGACUAGAGUACGAGAGAGGGAGGUAGAAUGCUAUGUGUAGCGGUGAAAUGCGUAGAUAUAUGGAGGAAUACCGGUGGCGAAGGCGGCCUCCUGGCUCGAUACUGACGCUGAGGUGCGAAAGCGUGGGGAUCAAAC